CCCUUAGACGUUCUGGGCCGCACGCGCGCUACACUGACGGAGCCAGCGAGUAUAAACCUUGGCCGAGAGGUCUGGGAAAUCUUGUGAAACUCCGUCGUGCUGGGGAUAGAGCAUUGUAAUUAUUGCUCUUCAACGAGGAAUUCCUAGUAAGCGCAAGUCAUCAGCUUGCGUUGAUUACGUCCCUGCCCUUUGUACACACCGCCCGUCGCUACUACCGAUUGAAUGGCUUAGUGAGGCUUCCGGAUUGGUUUAGAGAAGGGGGCAACUCCAUCUUGGAACCGAGAAGCUAGUCAAACUUGGUCAUUUAGAGGAGGUAAAAGUCGUAACA
RNAcentral lists this ribosomal RNA (328 nucleotides) under uncultured eukaryote. Its description in RNAcentral is "partial 18S ribosomal RNA". It matches the Rfam family "Eukaryotic small subunit ribosomal RNA", at positions 1470 to 1796 of the family's 1831-position model. The record is from RNAcentral.